GUUUUAAUAGUUUAAAAAAAAUAUUGGUCUUGUAAACCAAAAUUAAGGAUCACCUUUUAAAACU
This 64-nucleotide transfer RNA is filed under the name Anaplecta omei. Its description in RNAcentral is "tRNA-Thr". It matches the Rfam family "tRNA". From Rfam's summary of the family: Transfer RNA (tRNA) molecules are approximately 80 nucleotides in length. Their secondary structure includes four short double-helical elements and three loops (D, anti-codon, and T loops). Further hydrogen bonds mediate the characteristic L-shaped molecular structure. tRNAs have two regions of fundamental functional importance: the anti-codon, which is responsible for specific mRNA codon recognition, and the 3' end, to which the tRNAs corresponding amino acid is attached (by aminoacyl-tRNA synthetases). tRNAs cope with the degeneracy of the genetic code in two manners: having more than one tRNA (with a specific anti-codon) for a particular amino acid; and 'wobble' base-pairing, i.e. permitting non-standard base-pairing at the 3rd anti-codon position. The record is from RNAcentral. Lineage: Eukaryota; Metazoa; Arthropoda; Insecta; Blattodea; Anaplectidae.